GUUCAAUCUACAUAGAUCCAGAAAUUACAUUUAUAUCUAUAAAUUGGACUGUGCCCCUUUUUCGAAAUAAGAGUCUGCUAGUCUAUAUAUUGCUCGCCAUAUUUCUACUGCAGUGUGUAGUGUCUUUCGAUGUGACCACGUUGCGGUCAAGCCAGCCUUCACUUUGAAAAAAAGCGACGCCGCGUGUUUUUCUGCGGGGCGCGUGUGUAUCAGGCGUUACGUGCACAGGUGGGUCUGUGAGACGUGGACAGAGGACAGCUACGGACCCAAAUGGAGAGCAAGACUCCGUCCAAAGGUCCUGUCGGAGCAGGUGCCUGUGGUCUGCAGCCCCUUCCUGAGGUAGCCGAGCCCGAAGACCUGAGCAAUGUGGAGGGCAGCAAGUGCCAACCCGGACACCCUGCAGGGGCAAGAGAUGCAAAGGAGGUGCACUCAUUGGACAGCUCUCCGUCUUCCUCGGAGAGCGAGGACGAGGGUCUCUGCAAGAAAGACAAGAAGAAGAAAAAGCUGAAAAAGAAAACAAAGAAGAAGAAGAAGAAGGAUUCCAGCUCAUCCUCUUCCUCCUCCUCCUCCUCCUCCUCCUCCUCCAGUAGCUCUUCAGAGAGUGACAGCGAGGAUGACAAGAAGAAGAAGAAGAAAAAGCAGAAGAAGGACGAAGGGCAGAAAGAGUGUGUCCGGGACGAUGUUAUCAUAUGUAGUCCUGGUGGCCAGAUGGAGCAGCCGGGUGCAGAAGGUGCAGAAGGUGUGAAGAUGAGCCAGGAUUGUAACUCCUCAGAUGGUGAAGAUGACAAGAAGAAGAAGAAGAAGAAGAAGAAGAAGAAGAAGAAGCAGGACAAGAAGAAGAAGAAAAAGAAGAAGGAUUCGUCUUCUUCCUCAUCUGACUGUUCCUGCUCCGACUGCGAGGACGAAAAGAAGAAGAAGAAGAAGAAGAAGAAGAAGAAGAGGAAGAAGAAGGACUCAAGCUCCUCUUCCUCAGACAGCUCUUCAUCAUCCUCUGACAGCGAGGAUGACAAGAAGAAAAAGGACAAGAAGAAGAAGAAGAAGAAAAAGAAAGACAAGAAAAAGGAUUCCAGCUGCUCGUCUUCAUCUUCAUCUUCUGACAGUGAUAAAGAUGAGAAGAAAAAGAAGAACAAGAAGAAGAAGAAGAAGAAGAAGAAGAAGAAUGACAAGGAAAAGAAGAACAAGAAACACGAUGAAGAGCAGAAUGAGCUCUGCGGUGGAGCUGCUCCUCCAGCUUCUGGUGAGUGUUUUUCUGCAGGUGGUGAGACUCCGGGACCAAGUGCUGAUGGAGAGAAAAAGAAAGACGAUUCUGCCGACAAGGUCAAGAAAGAGCCUAAAGAAAAAGAAAAAUGUGGAGCAAAGGCCUUCGCUGACGCUAUUGAGGAAGGCCACCUGAGUGACGACGAGGGAGAAGGAGAGAACCACAAGAAGAAGAAGAAGAAGAUGCUGAAGAAGAAGAAGGAGAAGGGUUCCGGCUCAUCAUCAGACAGUGAUGACGACGAAGAAGACAAGAAGAAGAAAAAGAAGAAGAAGGAGAAGGACUCCUCCAGCUCCUCCUCUUCGUCUGAUAGUUGCUCCUCAGAUAGUGAUGAGGACAAGAAGAAGAAGAAGAAGAAGAAGAAGAAGGAUUCUGGAUCCUGCUCGUCUUCUUCAUCCUCUGAUAGCGAAGAGGACAAGAAGAAGAAGAAGAAGAAGAAGAAGAAGAAGAAGAAGAAAAAGAAGAAGAAGAUGAAGGAUAAGGACUCCUCCUCUUCUUCAUGCUCGGAUAGUGAAGAGGACAAGAAGAAGAAGAAGAAGAAGAAGAAGAAGAAGAAGACGAAGAAGAAGAAGAAGGAUAAGGACUCCUCGUCUUCUUCAUGCUCUGAUAGUGAAGAGGACAAGAAGAAGAAGAAGACGAAGAAGAAGAAGGAUAAGGACUCCUCGUCUUCUUCAUGCUCUGAUAGUGAAGAGGACAAGAAGAAGAAGAAGAAGAAGAAGAAGAAGAAGAAGAAGACGAAGAAGAAGAAGGAUAAGGACUCGUCCUCUCCUUCAUGCUCUGAUACUGAAGAGGACAAGAAGAAGAAGAAGAAGAAGAAGAAGAAGUCCUCUUGCGCUGAGAGUGAUGACGACAAGAAGAAGAAGAAGAAAGAUAAGAAGAAGAAGAAGAAAAAGAAGGAUUGUUCCUCUGGAUCGUCCAGUGAUUCGAGUGAUAAUGACAAGAAGAAGAAGAAGAAGAAGAAGAAGAAGAAAAGGAAAGAUAAGAAGAAAAAGAAAGACAAGAAGAAGGACUCCGAUUCUUCUACCAGUGCUGAUGACAAAAAGAAGAAGAAAGACAAGAAGAAGAAAAAGAAGGACAAAAAGAAGGACUCAAAGUCCAGUUCAUCGUGUCCAUCUGACGGCAGUGACAAGGAGAAUAAAAAGGACAAGAAGAAGAAGAGGUCUGGUUCAUCAGGAAGUGAAACUGACAAUAAGAAAAAGAGGGAAUGCUCUGAUGGCGAGCGAGGCGGCGAAGAUCCCGGUGCCGGUCGGGCCGGACUUUCAGCUCCCGGUGGCAGCUGCUCUACGCCUGCCGCUGCUCCCGCCGUCCCCUACGUGUCCCUCCCCUCCAAACCUGUUGUGAAGAUGGAUCCUCUGCGUCCUUCAACUGUCUGCCGGCCCUCUGCCCCUGUCUCCUCUGCCCCCGCCUCUUCUGCCCCUGUCUCCUCUGCCCCCGCCUCUUCUGCCCCUGUCUCCUCUGCGCCCGCCUCUUCUGCCCCUGUCUCCUCUGCGCCCGCCUCUUCUGCCCCCGCCUCUUCUGCCCCUGUCUCCUCUGCGCCCGCCUCUUCUGCCCCUGUCUCCUCUGCGCCCGCCUCUUCUGCCCCUGUCUGCUCUGCCCCCGCCUCUUCUGUCCCUGGGUCCUAUGUCCCUGGGUCCUUUGUCGCUGGCUCCUAUGUCCCUGGGUCCUAUGUCCCCGGCUCCUCGAGUGUUGGAGAUAAGGCCCCCAAUCGUAGGCCUCCCAGCCCCAUGGAGGCCCUGAUGGGGAGCCCGAGGCGGUACGGCUCCUCCCAUCUCAGCUCAAGCGACCUAUUGAAAGGCCCCAAGCCUUAUCAAUGAUGAGAUCAAAACACGCGUUACUCGUGUUUCCUUUUAAAGCAACUGGAGGAUGUCGACCAUGAGAGGAGAUAUGAUUCCUUGAUUUCAUGCUGGAUAAAUGUGAUGACUGGUGGAAAAACGUAUUGUGACACGAUGAAAAUGUCCAAGAUGAGAAGUAUAAUCCAAACAUGGAAAGUCACGAUUGUGUUUUUAAUCAAUAAAGCGCAC
Gasterosteus aculeatus aculeatus (three-spined stickleback) is the source of this 3276-nucleotide long non-coding RNA. Lineage: Eukaryota; Metazoa; Chordata; Actinopteri; Perciformes; Gasterosteidae. The record is from Ensembl.